RNAcentral lists this ribosomal RNA (254 nucleotides) under uncultured bacterium. RNAcentral describes it as "partial 16S ribosomal RNA". It matches the Rfam family "Bacterial small subunit ribosomal RNA", at positions 524 to 776 of the family's 1533-position model. The record is from RNAcentral.
UACGAAGGAUGCAAGCGUUAUCCGGAUUCAUUGGGUUUAAAGGGAGCGUAGGUGGCCUUAUAAGUCAGUGGUGAAAUCUCUGGGCUUAACCCAGAAAUUGCCAUUGAUACUGUAGGGCUUGAGUAUAGUUGCCGUUGGCGGAAUAUGACAUGUAGUGGUGAAAUACAUAGAGAUGUCAUAGAACACCGAUUGCGAAGGCAGCUGACGAAAACUAUAACUGACACUGAGGCUCGAAAGUGCGGGGAUCAAACAGG